CAGGGGUGUGGAAAUGCUAUGCCCGACUUGCCCGACUCGUACAUUUGAACAACCGGACAAGUAAUUAUUUUUGUCUGGGUUGCCCGUGGACAAGUAAAAAAUAAUAAAAGACAAAUUUCAAAUGCAACAGAAAUAUAGAAUUAAUUUCAACAUGUUCAAAAUGUAUAAAGAUGUUAAAUUUAUGUAAAAGAAACCAAUGGUCAGCGAGUAAAAACACAAAUGUUCAUGACGAUAAAUAUUACAUAAUAGCGGAAAUAGAUCGAUUAACAAAAUAAAUAAAAAUAAGUAUGCGAACCCGAGUUGCGUAACAUUGCAUUGGUUUUGUCCAUUGACACGGGACCGUCGAUUAGGUUUUAUCCAUGAAGUGUCAUUUGUAUAUGAUUUUGUAUCGAGAUUCAGAUUGAUAAAUACUUUAUAAAACACCGGGCAAGUAAGACAAAAAGAAUAUUGAGUCGAGUAAAAAACCCAAAACGCAAAUGAAGGAUAAGGAGUAUUAAAAAAAAAUACGGAAGCGAAAAUUCCAGACAUCGUGAAUAUCAGAUUGCACCUGGCUAUCUAUAGGAUGGAAAUUCGGAAAAUAAAUAAAUCUUUUGUCUUUAUAUUUAUAGAUCAAUGGUCAACAUUAUUUGUUGUCAGAGUGGUAAAUAGAAGGGACGGUUUAAUUGCCCAUCAAGACAAUUAUAAAAAAAAACAAAAAAACAAGUGUGUCAGUUAAGAGAAACAGCAAAAAAGUCAAUAGUUUAUCCAUUAUUUAAUUUCCAUUUCUUCACUCAC
RNAcentral lists this long non-coding RNA (774 nucleotides) under Mytilus galloprovincialis (Mediterranean mussel). Lineage: Eukaryota; Metazoa; Mollusca; Bivalvia; Mytilida; Mytilidae. The record is from RNAcentral.